Molecule: ribosomal RNA, 595 nt
Filed under: uncultured methanogenic archaeon
Lineage: Archaea; Methanobacteriati; Methanobacteriota
Description: partial 16S ribosomal RNA
Rfam family: Archaeal small subunit ribosomal RNA (bases 128-595)
Source: RNAcentral
GGGGGGGGGGAUAUUUUUUUCUCUCUUUCUUACAAAAAAUUUUUGUGGUGGGGCUCAAAAAAAAAAGGGGGGGGGAAAAAAAAAAAAAAACCCCCCCCGAAAAAUUUCCCCCCAAUUUUUUUGGGGGUGGGGGGGGAACCCCCCCAGGGGGGGGCCCCGGUUUUUUUUGGUUUAAAAGGGGGGGGGUUUCGGAUAGGCACCGGGAAUUUUACCCGGGUAAAACCCUUUUUUUCCCCAUUAGAGGGAGGGGCAUGCCCUUUUCCGUUUUUUCUUGUGAAGCCUUCCGUUUUAUUCAGGCACGGAGGCAAACCCCCCGCCAACCGUUGCUAGCAGUGUUUUCCGGAAAUGAUGAGGACACUGUUGGGACCGCCUCUGCUAAAAAAAAAAAAAAAAAAGGGCAACGGUAGGUCAGCAUGCCCCGAAUUAUCCGGGCUACACGCGGGCUACAAUGGUCAGGACAAUGGGAAACGGCACUGAAAAGUGUAGUCAAUCUCCUAAACCUGUCCCAAGUUCGGAUUGUGGGCUGCAACUCGCCCACAUGAAGCUGGAAUCCGUAGUAAUCGCGUUUCAAAAUAGCGCGGUGAAUAAGUCCCUG